This 329-nucleotide unclassified non-coding RNA is filed under the name soil metagenome. Its description in RNAcentral is "partial contains 5.8S ribosomal RNA, internal transcribed spacer 2, and large subunit ribosomal RNA". The stretch from base 1 to 120 matches the Rfam family "5.8S ribosomal RNA", at positions 35 to 154 of the family's 154-position model. The record is from RNAcentral.
GAUGAAGAACGUAUCGAAAUGCGAUAAGUAAUGUGAAUUGCAGAACUCAGUGAAUCAUCGAAUCUUUGAACGCACAUUGCGCCCCUUGGUAUUCCGAGGGGCAUGCCUGCUCGAGCGUCAUUAUAACCCCUCAAGCUCAGCUUGGUGUUGGGGCCUGCUGCACUGGCAGCCCUUAAAAUCAGUGGCGGCGCCAUCUGGCUCUAAGCGUAGUAAUUCUUCUCGCUAUGGAGUCCUGGUGGAUGCUUGCCAUCAACCCCCAAUUUUUCUAUGGUUGACCUCGUAUCAGGUAGGGAUACCCGCUGAACUUAAGCAUAUCAAUAAGCGGAGGA